RNAcentral lists this ribosomal RNA (361 nucleotides) under uncultured bacterium. RNAcentral describes it as "partial 16S ribosomal RNA". It matches the Rfam family "Bacterial small subunit ribosomal RNA", at positions 338 to 696 of the family's 1533-position model. The record is from RNAcentral.
CCUACGGGAGGCAGCAGUGAGGAAUAUUGGUCAAUGGGCGCGAGCCUGAACCAGCCAAGUAGCGUGAAGGUUGACUGCCCUACGGGGUGUAAACUUCUUUUAUCAAGGAAUAAAGUGAUGCCCGUGUGCCUUUUUGGAUGUACUUUAUGAUUAAGGAUCGGCUAACUCCGUGCCAGCAGCCGCGGUAAUACGGAGGAUCCGAGCGUUAUCCGGAUUUAUGGGGUUAAAGGGGCGCGUAGAUGGGUUGUUAAGUCAGUUGUGAAAGUUUGCGGCUAAACCGUAAAAUUGCAAUUGAUACUGGCAGCCUUGAGUACAGUUGAGGUAGGCGGAAUUGGUGGGGUAGCGGUGAAAUGCUUAGAUA